CUGUGCUACGAGGAUUUCCAUUUCCAUGUGGCUCGUGUGUAUGCUUGCCUGGGGUACCCCAAUGCCCAGCACAUCCUGGGACAGAGGUAUUUGCAAGGAGCUGGAGUGGAAAAAAAUGAGGACAUGGCCAUGCACUGGUUCAGGCAGGCUGCGGGGCAGGGCCAUCCCCACUCCUCCUUCAACCUGGCAGUGGGGACACUCAGAAACAUGACCAUGGCACUUGAAGAAGGGGAAGUGGAGAAACUCCUCAGUGUGGCAGCAGCCCAUGGGCUCUUAGAAGCUCAGCAACUUCUGGAAAACAUCAAGAGCAGAAACCUUCCCUGAAUGACUGCUGCAACACCGAUGUUUGUACAACCUUGUCUUCUUCUGCACUCAGCAACCCUGCCUUCUCCUUGCUGACUGCCUGGUCUUCAGGAAUUUGAAUAAUUCACUGGACAUUACAUUUGCUUUGUGAUGCAUCUUCAUGGUCAGGUCUAUAGCAGUCAUGUGCUGCUGCUCCAUCUCCAUUUGUUUCCUGGCUUGCCACUUGUGAAGACCACUGGAAAGGUGAGAUGGAGGAGAUCAGUAGCCUUCAAUGUUAUACUGAUGAUAAGCAUAUGAAUAUUUUUGAAAAAAACUCCCAUCACUGUUGUACCAACUCAUCUGCUAAUGCUAAGUUAGAUCCAAAUAUUCAUUUUGGCUUGGUGCAGUGUUGCUUGCAUGUUUGUGCCACCUUUCAUGCUCUGCUUAGGCAUUGCGAUAACUGAUCACGACUAAGGCUGUAAAUCAGCAUGACAUGCAUGCAUCAUCCAUUUGUACUGGAAAUGACUGUGAUUUAAUAGAAAAUACAAAUUAUGCUCUCACUUAGCAACUAGUGUUCCUUAUCAGCAUUACCAUUGUCAUGCCAGUUCUGGGGAAAAGAAAUUCAAUUUAAUGGAAACUACCUUCAUUUUCAGGGUGGUCUCAGUUUAAAACCACAGUGAGCAAUUGCAUUUCACAGGACGUGUGCUCAACUAAACAAAGACCUGCAGAGUUUUGCUAGCAAUAAAAUUGUUUCCCA
Long non-coding RNA from Parus major (Great Tit), 1039 nucleotides. RefSeq lists it as uncharacterized. Lineage: Eukaryota; Metazoa; Chordata; Aves; Passeriformes; Paridae. The transcript is spliced from 4 exons. The record is from RefSeq and is a predicted model, not a curated record.